CCCUUACUUUGUUUAGAGUUCAGUUCUAUUGCAGAGACACACAGACAAAAUUUAAAAUCCCAACAAAGCGGAGCAGGAGGAACGUGAGCAGAAGAUGGAGGCUCACGUCACUGAGCCUGGAGACCUUCAUCCCUCUGGUGUUUCUAUCUGCUCAUCACUUCACAUGUGAACCUUUAGUUCUGUGUGAAGGUUGUGACGUCCAGUCUGCUCCACAGGAAGUGACGCUGUCUUCUGUCCUCUCUUUCAGACAAUCACACUCUACUGAUUGGUGUAGGUGUUGCUGUUGGCUUUGCUGUUGGUGGGAUUGUUGUCGGUCUUGUUGUUUACUUUGCGCUAACAAAGAAAACACACUCAGCAGUUAGAACUAAUCCAGGGUAAAGUUCCCAAAGCGAAUGAAAAGCUUCAGAGUGACGACCACACAACGCUGUUUAUUUAAAGAUGAUGAUGUCAUCAUGACCUCACUUCCACCACGUGACGACACAUGAUUGGUUCUUGUAAAUAAGCUGAUUUUUCAAUAUAUGUAUAAAAGCUUCAGGUUGUAUCUAUCGUCCAAUAGGAAGCAGAGACUGUUGAAUGAUGCAUGAAGUCAUUUUCUGACCUUUUCUUCAGAAAGUGAAAUGAAACUGUGACAUCACAUCCUGAACACGUAUUUUGAAGGAGACACAGGAUGUUCCUCUCUGUUUCAUGAUCUCUCUGCUUGUGGUUCUUCUCUCAGCUGAACUUUGACUCAACCACACGUCACUGAUCUCAGACCUGCUGCUCUGCUCUCAAUCAAUGUGAAUGUUCUGCAGCUAAAGUGAAAAUGUGAUGAGUCAGUGUUUAUUGGUGAAGGUGCUGAGUCGGGUCCAGUUCCAGUCACAGCUGCUUCCUGUUGUCACUGUGAUGUUUGACCCGUCGCUGUCUGACUCUGACUUUGUCUUCAUGUUGUUACCUGAUGAUUCUGAGGAUUUCAGGCUGCUUCAUUAUUUCUGUUCAACACUUUGAAUAAAACGUGACAAACAUCAAA
This is a long non-coding RNA of Pleuronectes platessa (European plaice), 1006 nucleotides long. RefSeq lists it as uncharacterized. NCBI's taxonomy places the organism in Eukaryota, Metazoa, Chordata, Actinopteri, Pleuronectiformes, Pleuronectidae. The transcript is spliced from 2 exons. The record is from RefSeq and is a predicted model, not a curated record.